UGAUGCAGAAUGUAUGGUUGAUUUCUUCAAGAACGGGCUACAGACCAAGCAGGUGCCCGUGUAGACAGCUUAAAAAAUCGCUGUGCUUUAGAGGAAAGGAAGAGAAAAAACCCGACAGUAGAAGCAGCUCUCCUGGCUAAAGGUUGCCGCCCGACUGCAGAGGGCAAUGAAGACACUGACCGGCCCUUUGUUCCUGUGCCUGUGGCUGCAGCUGCACCGUGUGGUUGGAGGAGGGCAGGUGGAGCAGCGUCCUUCUUCCCUAAGCGUCUUGGAGGGAGAUAGCUCUGUUAUCGACUGCACUUACACAAACGGUGCUUUCUCCUACUUCUACUGGUAUAAACAAGAGCCUGGCACAGGUCUCCAAUUGCUCAUACAUAUUUUUGGAAAUAUGGACAACAAACAAGACAGAAGAUUCACUGUCUCUUUGAAUAAGAAAGACAAACAUCUCUCCCUGAACAUCUCAGCUGCCCGUCCUGGAGACGCAGCCACCUACUUCUGUGCUGUGAGCACACAGAGCUCCCAAGGCACCUGCGGCCUGUGCACAAACCCGGGGCUGGGGCUGCAUGCACAGUCUGUUGUUUCCACCUUUGAGAUCAGCAUUUUCCUGUAUUAUGUUUUUAAUAUAUGAUCUUUAAAACAUACUGAGACAAGGUCAAUUUCUGUUUUAAAAAAGACCAAAUAAGUAUUAGGACUUUUUCAAUGAGCUCUCUUUGAGAGCCAGAUGUGUUAGGUAGAUGUCACAUCUCUAGGGUUGACUUUCAUGUGACAUUCAGAUUUCUUUUCUUCCCAGGACAUCCGGUAUCAGUGUCAGGCAACAGUCUUUUCAACUGAAAGGCUUUUAUCUUUUAAUAACUGCGUUACUAGCUGGUUCUGAUAAUAUCAUUAUUAGCUGAUGGUAUAGGAAAAACCAGUAAAACUUUCAAAUGUUUUCCAGUCUUGUGGUAUAGAUAAAUCAUGGCUAAUGUAACAUAGUCUCUCUUCAUUAAAAUGUUCUUAAAAUUAGGA
This is a non-coding RNA of Chinchilla lanigera (long-tailed chinchilla), 1005 nucleotides long. NCBI's taxonomy places the organism in Eukaryota, Metazoa, Chordata, Mammalia, Rodentia, Chinchillidae. The record is from the annotation of a RefSeq genome assembly.